This 253-nucleotide ribosomal RNA is filed under the name uncultured bacterium. RNAcentral's name for it is "partial 16S ribosomal RNA". It matches the Rfam family "Bacterial small subunit ribosomal RNA", at positions 524 to 776 of the family's 1533-position model. The record is from RNAcentral.
UACGUAGGGUGCAAGCGUUAAUCGGAAUUACUGGGCGUAAAGCGUGCGCAGGCGGUUUUGUAAGACUGUCGUGAAAUCCCCGGGCUCAACCUGGGAAUGGCGAUGGUGACUGCAAGGCUAGAGUUUGGCAGAGGGGGGUAGAAUUCCACGUGUAGCAGUGAAGUGCGUAGAUAUGUGGAGGAACACCGAUGGCGAAGGCAGCCCCCUGGGUCAAAACUGACGCUCAUGCACGAAAGCGUGGGGAGCAAACAGG